CUCAAGCUGAGCUUUCGCUCGCCAUCCACCACUGCUGUUUGCCGCCGUCCCAGACCCGCCGUUGACUUCCACCCUUCUGGAUCCAGCAGGGUGUCCAUUGCACUCCUGAUCCAGCGAGGUGCCCAUUGCCGCUCCUGAUUGGGCUAAAGGCUCACCAUUGUUCCUGCACAGGAACCAUCAUACUGUUUUCCACAGUGGCUUUACCAUUUUACAUUCCCAAAGACGGUACACAAAGGCUCCAAUUUCUCCAUAUCCUCUCCAACACUUGUUAUUUUCUGUUUUUGUAAUAGUAGCCAUCUUAACGGGUGUGAGGUGGUAUUUCAUGGUGAUAUUUCAUGCAUUUCUCUAAUGAUUACUGAUGUUGAGUGUCUUCAUGUGAUUAUUGGCCAUCUGUAUAUCUGUUUUGUAGAAAUAUCUAUUCAAGUCCUGUGUCUAUUUUUUAAUUGGGUUGUUUUGUUGUUGAGCUUUAGGAGCUAUCUACAUACUCUAGAUAUUAAUCCCUUACCAGACUUAUAAUUUGCAAAUAUUUUAUUUUAUCCCAUUCUGUGAGUUGACUUUUUACUCUAUGGAUAGGUGUUUUGUUUUGAGAUGGAGUCUUGUUCUUGUUGCCCAGGCUGGAGUGCAAUGGCACAAUCCUGGCUCACUGCAACCUCUGCUUCCCAGAUUCAAGUGAUUCUCCUGCCUCAGCCUCCCAAGUAUCUGGGAUUACAGGCACUUGCCACCAAGCCCGGCUAAUUUUUGUAUU
RNAcentral lists this long non-coding RNA (745 nucleotides) under Homo sapiens (human). Its description in RNAcentral is "HSALNT0130527". The record is from RNAcentral. Lineage: Eukaryota; Metazoa; Chordata; Mammalia; Primates; Hominidae.